GCGGGAGUAGCUCAGUUGGUAGAGCGUUGGCUUCCCAAGCCGAAGGUCGCGGGUUCGAGCCCCGUUUCCCGCU
Molecule: transfer RNA, 73 nt
Filed under: Flammeovirgaceae bacterium
Lineage: Bacteria; Pseudomonadati; Bacteroidota; Cytophagia; Cytophagales; Flammeovirgaceae
Also listed under: 1 other name
Description: tRNA-Gly
Rfam family: tRNA
About the family: Transfer RNA (tRNA) molecules are approximately 80 nucleotides in length. Their secondary structure includes four short double-helical elements and three loops (D, anti-codon, and T loops).
Source: RNAcentral